Long non-coding RNA from Amphimedon queenslandica, 330 nucleotides. RefSeq lists it as uncharacterized. The record is from RefSeq and is a predicted model, not a curated record. Lineage: Eukaryota; Metazoa; Porifera; Demospongiae; Haplosclerida; Niphatidae. The transcript is spliced from 3 exons.
CCCAUUUCAUUAAUUGAGUCUUAUGAUGUAUAUUUAUAGGAAGAUAGAUAUAAGUUGUUAUGCAAUGAUUUAAAAGAAAAUGAUCAAAACCUGGGAGAGAAGAGGACCAUCCACCUAAUUAAAGCUUCUUAUACUGCAGUCCCGGCACUCCUAAUUCACAAUACAGACUGGGAGUAUUUGAGGCAGCUAUACGGCAGGGUUCUUUGGCAGUUGAAGAGUUGUUAUAUUUACAAUUGCAUGAAUAAAAAGUCGACAAUGCGUUGUAUAUAUAAUAGUGAUAACAAUAACUACUAAUAACUUAACACUUAAUAAUAACUAUACACUUAAUAA